This 114-nucleotide small RNA is filed under the name Marmota monax (woodchuck). The record is from RNAcentral. Lineage: Eukaryota; Metazoa; Chordata; Mammalia; Rodentia; Sciuridae.
CCUGGUAGCAGUGCACACCUGUGAUCCCAGCUACUCGGGAGGCUGAGGCAGGAGGAUCACUUGAGCCCAGGAGCUGGGGACCAGCCUGGGUAACAUAGUGAGAACCUGUCUCUA